CAGCUGUCACUCGCUUUUUACAAUUAGACCCGUUUGGUUGUUGUUCGUGCGGCGCUCGCGUUUUUGAGGUGCAUUGGAAUUGUUGGGAACUGGUCGGUUUUAUUAAUUGUUUAUAAUUAUAUUUCGUAUGUACAUGGUAUGAUAACAAAAAAAAAUACAUGAUUAAAUAUUUAACCUCAUAGAAGAGCCUUUUUCGUAGCAAAGGCGAUUGUAAAACGCGAGAGUGUGAAGUGUUAUGAUGGUGAAAAAGCUUGCAAAAUAAAGGGAAAACCCAAAUAAUAAAAGCAAAAGUAGCGCAUUACACAAAUUAACAAAGCUGCAUAUAUAAUACUUAAAAAUUUAAAAGUGUUUUUAGAAAGGCAUCAAUUGCAUACACAUUUCGCUCCAUCAAACAAGAUCGUGAAAAAGAUAGUUGGAAUAAGCGUACAAUUGGAAGUUACACGAUGUGGAGUCCAACGCAUAUACAAGUGACAGUUCAACGUGCGAAAGGUCUGCUGACAAAAGGCAAAAAUGGCACCAACAAUUGUUUCGUCACGAUUUCGCUGGGUAAAGAGAAAUACCAGACAUCAGUUAAAGACAAAGCGGAAACAAAUGUCAGCUGGAAUGAAGAAUGUGAACUCAAAAUUCCUGAUCAAGGCAACCGUGCUGAAUUGACAUUGACUUGCCUACAUCGCAAUAAUCUCGGCAUCGAUGAAUUUCUCGGUCAGGCCACAUUGCCACUGAAUGAAAUGGACGUUUACGACCGUCCACGUUCUAAAUGGUUCAAACUAGAGAGUAAACCUGGCAAAGAGAAAAAGAAUAAAGAGCGCGGUGAGCUGGAAGUUCGUAUUUCCUUCGUAGUCAAAUCUGGCUCACUGACUGAUCUGAGCAAAAAAGAAAAGCACAAGUCUUCCAUUGGCCAGCUGGCUUCUUCCGUGGGUGGCAGUCUGCUUUCGAUUGGCACAAUAGAAAAACGCAAAGGUAUUAAGAAGUUCGCCAAAUCGAUUGGCUCGAAAAUGCAUUUGAGCAGCAAGAAGAAGAAUAAGGAUGGCGAUGAUGUAUCGAAUUUCAGCGGCUCAUUCGCGAGCAUCGGCACGCCGAACAGUUCGAAUGGCGGUAGUCAUCGUUAUGGUCAGCGUGCCGGUGAGGCUGAUCCUGGUGUCAUUAGUGAGGAUGAAGAUGAAUUCGUUUUUGACAAUUUGUCACACAAGAGCUCGGCGAGUUCAUUGAACAUACGUUCAAAUCUACAAGUGCCUACACAAAAUUUCGCACCACGUAAUCCCUCACCGCUGCUGGGCAAAGUCGGAGAGAAAAGUGAAGAUAAUCGUUCCACGCCAAGUCCCAAAGCCAACGAACGCAUUAUUAUUGGCCACGAAAAGUCCACAUCACAUGCUGAACGGCGCUCGGAAAUAUCAGCAGCGCUCGCCAAGAAAUACGAGGGCAAAUCGCGAGAGGAGCUUAUGCUAAUAGCUAAUGGCAUGGAAAAUGAAGCGUUACUCCAACGUCAACGUGUGAAAGAGCUAGAAGAUUAUCUGGACAAUUUAUUGCUGCGUGUGAUGGAAACUCACCCGAAACUCUUACAAAAUCCUUACUCGCGCACUACAUCGGCUAAGAGUUUUAAAAACUACAUCAAUAUGAAUGACUUUUUGUAAAGAACCGAAUUUUGUGAAGCGCGAUGAAUUCCCAACCGAUUGGCUGUUUGCAUGUCAAAGCCAGCACAACGGCUGAACAACUUUAAGGAACAUCUUUUAAUUUUAAGCAAAUUUCAUGCGCGGCUGACCGGUAAUUCCAAGCGCCUUCCAGCUAAAGCGACAACAACACAAGCAUAUACAAAAUCAAAAAUCAUAAAAGUAAAUAAAAAGAGCGGAAUUAUCACCAAGUUGCCUUAGAGUGAAAAAUCCAAAGUGCUUUUUAUGCAAUGCGUAUUUAAUUAUGAAAGCUAAAAAAAUAUAUGUGUACAAGUUUAACAUAAUUUUUUGAAUCGAUGUCACUUUACUAGUUAGAAAUGAUGUUGUAUCUGCUAACACAGUUAAAUUAUUGUAAUAUAUUUUUUAAGUAAAGAAACAAAAAAAAA
Molecule: unclassified non-coding RNA, 2053 nt
Filed under: Rhagoletis pomonella (apple maggot)
Lineage: Eukaryota; Metazoa; Arthropoda; Insecta; Diptera; Tephritidae
Description: rab11 family-interacting protein 1, transcript variant X2
Source: RNAcentral